Molecule: ribosomal RNA, 515 nt
Filed under: uncultured bacterium
Lineage: Bacteria
Description: partial 16S ribosomal RNA
Rfam family: Bacterial small subunit ribosomal RNA
Source: RNAcentral
GAUGAACGCUGGCGGCGUGCCUAAUACAUGCAAGUCGAGCGAAUGGAUUAAGAGCUUGCUCUUAUGAAGUUAGCGGCGGACGGGUGAGUAACAUGUGGGUAACCUGCCCAUAAGUCUGGGAUAACUCCGGGAAACCGGGGCGAAUACCGGAUUACAUUUUGAACCGCAUGGUUCGAUAUUGAAAGGCGGCUUCGGCUGUCAGUUAUGGAUCGACCCGCGUCGCAUUAGCUAGUGGGUGAGGUAACGGCUCACCAAGGCAACGAUGCGUAGCCGACCUGAGAGGGUGAUCGGCCACACUGGGACUGAGACACGGCCCAGACUCCUACGGGAGGCAGCAGUAGGGAAUCUUCCGCAAUGGACGAAAGUCUGACGGAGCAACGCCGCGUGAGUGAUGAAGGCUUUCGGGUCGUAAAACUCUGUUGUUAGGGAAGAACAAGUGCUAGUUGAAUAAGCUGGCACCUUGACGGUACCUAACCAGAAAGCCACGGCUAACUACGUGCCAGCAGCCGCCGUAA